Molecule: ribosomal RNA, 253 nt
Filed under: uncultured bacterium
Lineage: Bacteria
Description: partial 16S ribosomal RNA
Rfam family: Bacterial small subunit ribosomal RNA
Source: RNAcentral
UACGUAGGUGGCAAGCGUUGUCCGGAUUUACUGGGCGUAAAGAGCGCGCAGGCGGUCGUUCAAGUCGCGUGUGAAAGCCCCCGGCUCAACUGGGGAGGGUCACGCGAUACUGAUCGACUCGAAGGCAGGAGAGGGUAGUGGAAUUCCCGGUGUAGUGGUGAAAUGCGUAGAUAUCGGGAGGAACACCAGUGGCGAAGGCGACUACCUGGCCUGUUCUUGACGCUGAGGAGCGAAAGCGUGGGGAGCGAACAGG